RNAcentral lists this ribosomal RNA (482 nucleotides) under Melarhaphe neritoides. RNAcentral's name for it is "partial 16S ribosomal RNA". It matches the Rfam family "Bacterial large subunit ribosomal RNA", at positions 1817 to 2571 of the family's 2925-position model. Lineage: Eukaryota; Metazoa; Mollusca; Gastropoda; Littorinimorpha; Littorinidae. The record is from RNAcentral.
CGCUCCUUGAUUUUAAUUAAUAAGGAGUCGGACCUGCCCAGUGAUAAGUAUUUAACGGCCGCGGUACUCUGACCGUGCAAAGGUAGCAUAAUCAUUUGCCCUAUAAUUGAGGGCUAGUAUGAAUGGUUUGACAAGAACAAUACUGUCUCUUUCAAAAUUUGUAGAAUUUAUUCUUUAGGUGAAGAAACCUAAAUAAAAUUAAAAGACAAGAAGACCCUAUCGAGCUUAAACUCUUUUUAUAAAAUAAAAAAAAUUAAUAAUAUUUUUUGUUAUAAAAAAUUUUGGUUGGGGCGACUAAGGAACAAAAAAAGCUUCUUUAUUUAAUAAAGACAAAUGUGUAUCGAUCCAUAAAAUCUUGAUUAAAAGAAUUAGUUACCGUAGGGAUAACAGCAUAAUCUUUUUUAAGAGUUCUUAUCGAAAAAAAGGUUUGUGACCUCGAUGUUGGACUAAAAUUUCCUAAUAGAUGCAGACGUCUUUAAGGG